AGUGGACAGUGAGGUCAGAGUGUCUGUGAGGUUGGCCCCUGCAGGGACAACCCUGAGGCCCCGGGACAGAAGUGGGGAGAAGUCAAUCAGGAGCCCCUGUGCACCCUCCCCGAGCCAUGAACACCUGCGAGGGACCACCCAUUGUGUCCUUGGUACCCACACAUUCCAAAGACCCUCAGGCGAAGAUGUCAGCCCAGGAGAGUUGCCUCAGCCUCAUCAAGUACUUCCUCUUCGUUUUCAACCUCUUCUUCUUUGUACUAGGCGGCCUGAUUUUCUGCUUCGGCACCUGGAUCCUCAUUGACAAGACCAGCUUCGUGUCCUUUGUGGGCCUAUCCUUCGUACCACUGCAGACCUGGUCCAAGGUCCUGGCUGUCUCGGGUGUCCUCACCAUGGCCAUGGCCCUCCUGGGUUGUGUGGGAGCUCUGAAGGAGCUGCGCUGUCUUCUGGGCCUGUACUUCGGGAUGCUGCUGCUCCUGUUUGCCACACAGAUCACCCUGGGGAUCCUCAUCUCCACUCAGCGGAUCCGGCUGGAGCGGAGAGUACAAGAGCUGGUGUUGCAGACCAUCCACAGCUACCGCACGAACCCGGAAGACACAGCGGCUGAAGAGAGCUGGGACUACGCGCAGUUCCAGCUGCGCUGCUGCGGCUGGCACUCUCCGCGGGAUUGGAUGAGCGCCCGCAUGCUGAGAGGGAACGAUUCUGAUGAGCUCUUCGUGCCCUGCUCCUGCUACAACUCCACGGCGACCAAUGACUCCUCGGGCUUUGAUAAGCUCUUCUUCUCCCAGAUUAGCCGGCUGGGGCCGCGGGCGAAACUGAGGCAGACCGCUGACCUAUGCGCACUCCCGGCAAAAGCCCACAUCUACCGCGAGGGCUGCGCGCAGAGCCUCCGGAAGUGGCUGCACAACAAUCUCAUCUCCAUAGUGGGAAUCUGUCUAGGAGUCGGUCUUCUUGAGGUGACUUGACCCCGCCCCCAUCAGUGAUUGGCCUAGCUAUGUUUUCCCGUUGCCGAGGAAACGCUUGCUUAGCCGUACCGCCUUUAUCAAUCGCCACACUAGCACGAGAUGGGGCGGAGACCCGGCUUCUGCAAACUCUUGGCCGUACGCGUGCGCUGCCCCCUCCCCUCUCCCGCAGCUCGGCUUCAUGACGCUCUCAAUAUUCCUGUGUAGAAAUCUGGACCACGUGUACGACAGGCUGGCCCGGUACCGCUAGGCCCCAGCCCGCCCAUCGGCACCCAUGCACCUCCAUGCAGCCAGGAAAUGUCUCCUUCCCUGGCUGGCCUUAGGCUUGGAGCCCGGUGCUCGGGACUCAUUCCCUGGGGAGCCAGGUGUCUGCCCUCACCGACAGCCAUCACGCACCGCACCGCAGCGGGGCCAGGGCCUUCCGUCCCCAGCUUCCUUCCCCAUUCCCUCCUCCCCACACCAUCUGUCUGCCACCUCCCACAUGACACCUCAAAUAAAUCCCCUUCGUUUUUGGUAAAAA
Molecule: RNA transcript, 1479 nt
Organism: Peromyscus eremicus (cactus mouse)
Lineage: Eukaryota; Metazoa; Chordata; Mammalia; Rodentia; Cricetidae
Gene: Cd37
Gene name: CD37 molecule
Exons: 9
Source: RefSeq, a predicted model, not a curated record